Molecule: ribosomal RNA, 425 nt
Filed under: uncultured bacterium
Lineage: Bacteria
Description: bacterial SSU rRNA
Rfam family: Bacterial small subunit ribosomal RNA
Source: RNAcentral
GUUAGGAAUAUUGGACAAUGGGCGCAAGCCUGAUCCAGCCAUGCCGCGUGAGUGAUGAAGGCCUUCGGGUUGUAAAGCUCUUUAGCCGAUGAUUAUAAUGACUGUAGUCGGAAAAUAAGCCCCGGCUAACUUCGUGCCAGCAGCCGCGGUAAUACGAAGGGGGCGAGCGUUAUUCGGAAUCACUGGGCGUAAAGCGUGCGUAGGCGGCUUUGCAAGUUGGGAGUGAAAGCCCAGGGCUCAACCCUGGAAUUGCUCUCAAAACUGCAAGGCUCGAAUUCGGGAGAGGAUAGCGGAAUUGUCAGUGUAGCAGUGAAAUGCGUAGAUAUUGACAGGAACACCAGUGGCGUAAGCGGCUAUCUGGACCGAUAUUGACGCUGAGGCACGAAAGCGUGGGGAUCAAACAGGAUUAGAAACCCGAGUAGUCC